RNAcentral lists this long non-coding RNA (311 nucleotides) under Chinchilla lanigera (long-tailed chinchilla). RNAcentral describes it as "lncRNA (ENSCLAG00000026334.1)". Lineage: Eukaryota; Metazoa; Chordata; Mammalia; Rodentia; Chinchillidae. The record is from RNAcentral.
CAGAAUGAAUGAGAACCAAAGCAGAAACCUGUUCUACUCAUCUCAGGUGAUGGAAACACUGAGACCUUUUCCAGAAGUGACUUCAACCAAGUUUCACAACCCUGGCAGUUAAUAUAGAAAAAUAAGCAGAUCAACAUACUGAGAUGAAUAUAUACUGCAAGGAGGAAAGUAGUGAGACUUUGGAAUCAUCUAAUUCUAUUUGAAGAUCAAAACAAAUUGCACAUCACCUGAUUCUUUGUCAAAAGUUUUUGAAAAGGUACCCGGGUCAAACAAACCUUCACUUCUUUUGAAUAUGUGCAAAAUUACACUAC